CCAACAACAGUCAGUAGGCUCGCGUAGUACGAAUACUUCCAGCCGAAUGAAUCAGCAAAAUAAAAAUAAUUGUGCAAUGCAAACCAACAAGAGUCGGCCGCCUCGCAGCAGAAGACCGUAGAAACGCAUCUCGAAGAAAAGCGUUCCACACAAAACAACACGAGCAACAACGAUGAUAAAUUACAUAAGAUGUACGAAGACCGUUUGCGAACGUUGGACGAGUUAUCAAAAUUGAAAGAUUUGAUAAUGGAAAGGGACGCCCGAACAAUAGAAAGCCAACGACAGGAGAUUGAAAAACUAAAAUUAAAAAUUGACGAAUUGGAGACAUCAAAAAAACAGAAAUUGGCUGACGACCAAGUUUUGGUAGGUUUUAAAUUUACAUGUAUUAAUCCAUAGGUCUUCCGCGAUCGUUCUGCCAACAUUUUUUACAAAACCAAAUUUAAACCUUUUUUAAACAAGAACAUUCAAUUCGGUGUUCGAUUAUAUUCUAAAUGAAACAAAAAUUUAGGAAAAACAGAUAGGGCACUAAUUCACGCAGGGCCGACCCGAAUAUGCCCAUCUUCCGACUCAGCCUCAUUAUUUCAACUAUUUUUAAUUUUUUCCUUCUAGAGUUUGGAUUUCUGGUUUUCCAUACCUAUCUCAAUCUUGAGAAAAUUCUUGGGCAAAAUAGCAAAUAUUAUUGUACACUUCGGCGCUUCACUUCCUGCACAAAACUGACAAACGUUCUGAGUCACAGUUGUAUGACAAUGAUGAUGAAUUGCAAUAUCUGUGUCAGUGAAAAAGCACUAGGUGACCUCAUGUCCCCUAUUUCCACGGGCAGAAAAUCUUCCCACAACUUCCUAACACAUCUACGUUUGAAACACGUCGACUCCCUGAGUAAGGGGAACUCUAUUUUAGUUCUCCAGAGAUACCAAAUCAGCAAAAAAUGCCCGUCUAUCCAUAACUUGAGUAAAACUACUCCAAUUUCGAGAUGUGCGGGCCGACCUAUUUUCAAAACCCGACCCAGCCCGGCCCAGACUAAUUUUUAAUGCCCGACUCGACCCGAGAAUUUUGUAGUUAAACCCAGCCCGGCCCGACUCGGCCCGUAUUUUUUUUACUGAGCGAAAAAACCUAAAAUUGGCGCGCCUAACAAGGGGAAAUCGUUCGGUUACCUAUCGUUAUAAUAAUGUAGUCUCACAAAUCUAUCGAACACUUGAAAGUAAGCUCACGCUCGGACUCUAUUGCAAUUUUUCUU
Bradysia coprophila is the source of this 1234-nucleotide unclassified non-coding RNA. The record is from RefSeq and is a predicted model, not a curated record. NCBI's taxonomy places the organism in Eukaryota, Metazoa, Arthropoda, Insecta, Diptera, Sciaridae.